GUAACAAGGUCUCCGUUGGUGAACCAGCGGAGGGAUCAUUACUGAGUUUACGCUCUAUAACCCUUUGUGAACAUACCUAUAACUGUUGCUUCGGCGGGUAGGGUCUCCGCGACCCUCCCGGCCUCCCGCCUCCGGGCGGGUCGGCGCCCGCCGGAGGAUAACCAAACUCUGAUUUAACGACGUUUCUUCUGAGUGGUACAAGCAAAUAAUCAAAACUUUUAACAACGGAUCUCUUGGUUCUGGCAUCGAUGAAGAACGCAGCGAAAUGCGAUAAGUAAUGUGAAUUGCAGAAUUCAGUGAAUCAUCGAAUCUUUGAACGCACAUUGCGCCCGCCAGCAUUCUGGCGGGCAUGCCUGUUCGAGCGUCAUUUCAACCCUCAAGCUCUGCUUGGUGUUGGGGCCCUACAGCUGAUGUAGGCCCUCAAAGGUAGUGGCGGACCCUCCCGGAGCCUCCUUUGCGUAGUAACUUUACGUCUCGCACUGGGAUCCGGAGGGACUCUUGCCGUAAAACCCCCCAAUUUUCCAAAGGUGA
This 531-nucleotide ribosomal RNA is filed under the name fungal endophyte. Its description in RNAcentral is "eukaryotic LSU rRNA". The stretch from base 214 to 367 matches the Rfam family "5.8S ribosomal RNA". Lineage: Eukaryota; Fungi. The record is from RNAcentral.